GUGCCAGCGCCGCGGUAAUACGUAGAGGGCAAGCGUUGUCCGGAAUCAUUGGGCGUAAAGGGUACGCAGGCGGAUAUGCAAGUCAAAUGUGAAAGGUACCGGCCCAACCGGUAGAGUGCAUUUGAAACUGUAUAUCUUGAGUACAGCAGAGGAGAACGGAAUUCCUGGAGUAGCGGUGGAAUGCGUAGAUAUCAGGAAGAACACCAGUGGCGUAGGCGGUUCUCUGGGCUGUAACUGACGCUGAGGUACGAAAGCUGGGGGAGCGAACGGGAUUAGAAACCCGGGUAUCC
RNAcentral lists this ribosomal RNA (290 nucleotides) under uncultured bacterium. RNAcentral describes it as "partial 16S ribosomal RNA". It matches the Rfam family "Bacterial small subunit ribosomal RNA", at positions 505 to 795 of the family's 1533-position model. The record is from RNAcentral.